ACCCGGCCCCCUCCCCUCGCGCGACCCCCUCCCCCCUCCCUUCGCGCGAGACCCCAUCCUAACCUAGCCGCCAGCGCCCGCCUGCCGCCGGUCCACUCCUUCAUCAAUCCCCCGCCGCCGUGCUGAAGGUUUCUACCUCGCCACUGCCCCGCCCCUGCGCCUGCCGGUCCUCCACUCGUCGCCGGCCCGCCCCUGCUCCUGGCCGGCCUCAACUCGCCGCCGCCGCCGGAGUGGAUCCUCACACGGGAGAGAUGGAUGAAUUGGCAAGAAAAAGAAGGCAACUAAGGGCGCGUUUGGUUCAUUAGCUAGCCUUGCUUAGCUGGGGUAGAUUUUCCUAGCUGGUGUGAGCAAGAGCUCGUAAGAGCAAACCUGGCUGUUUGGUUGCAAUGAGCUGUACACCGGAUAGCAGCACCUGAAGACAAUUCGAAUAGAAGAGGUGCAUCGUGGACCAUGACUCAUGGAUGAGGGAGUUAUGUUACGGGUGUACAGAGAAGUGGGGUUGCUGUUUUUGUGCCUGUUGGCUUGCCCGCACGAGCGAGCCGAAUUGGCUCUCCUCCAUGAGCAAGGUUUUGACAGCGGUUACAGGCUUAAUUGCCAUCAAAAGCUAGAUUUUUCUGUCCAUACCAAACACCUGACCUUGCCUAGCGAGGCUAGUUUAGUUCUUGCCUCAGAUCCAAACGCACCCUAAUUGUGAGAGGAGCCGGUCUAGUGGCUGGAUUGUAUGCUUACAUGAUGGUCAUGUUUAGAAGAUCUAGGCAAGAAAAACCAAGGAUAACCUUGGGCAGCAUGGCCGAUCGUGCCAUAUCUAGAGAGUCAAAUUUGAGAUACGUUUAUCACUCUAGUGACAUAAAUUGUUCAAAUCAACUCAGAAUGAGAAAAUCUCCAUUUUUCC
Aegilops tauschii subsp. strangulata is the source of this 892-nucleotide long non-coding RNA. RefSeq lists it as uncharacterized. The record is from RefSeq and is a predicted model, not a curated record. Lineage: Eukaryota; Viridiplantae; Streptophyta; Magnoliopsida; Poales; Poaceae.